GCGAGAGUAGCACAAUGGUAGUGCACUAGCUUCCCAAGCUAGCUACGGGGGUUCGAUUCCCCUCUCUCGCUCCA
Molecule: transfer RNA, 74 nt
Filed under: Candidatus Omnitrophota bacterium
Lineage: Bacteria; Pseudomonadati; Candidatus Omnitrophota
Description: Candidatus Omnitrophica bacterium (sediment metagenome) tRNA-Gly
Rfam family: tRNA
About the family: Transfer RNA (tRNA) molecules are approximately 80 nucleotides in length. Their secondary structure includes four short double-helical elements and three loops (D, anti-codon, and T loops).
Source: RNAcentral